AACUCAUAACAGCCUGCAAAGUU
This 23-nucleotide small nuclear RNA is filed under the name Arabidopsis thaliana (thale cress). RNAcentral describes it as "snRNA_11670". Lineage: Eukaryota; Viridiplantae; Streptophyta; Magnoliopsida; Brassicales; Brassicaceae. The record is from RNAcentral.